UACGUAGGUGGCAAGCGUUGUCCGGAAUUAUUGGGCGUAAAGCGCGCGCAGGCGGCCUUUUAAGUCUGAUGUGAAAGCCCACGGCUCAACCGUGGAAGGUCAUUGGAAACUGAGAGGCUUGAGUACAGAAGAGGAAAGCGGAAUUCCACGUGUAGCGGUGAAAUGCGUAGAGAUGUGGAGGAACACCAGUGGCGAAGGCGGCGACCUGGGCCAAUAUUAACGCUGAGGUGCGAAAGCGUGGGGAGCAAACAGG
Molecule: ribosomal RNA, 253 nt
Filed under: uncultured bacterium
Lineage: Bacteria
Description: partial 16S ribosomal RNA
Rfam family: Bacterial small subunit ribosomal RNA
Source: RNAcentral